UACGUAGGGGGCUAGCGUUGCUCGGAAUUACUGGGCGUAAAGGGCGCGUAGGCGGACAGCUUAGUCAGAGGUGAAAGCCCAGGGCUCAACCUUGGAACUGCCUUUGAUACUGGCUGUCUUGAGUUCGGGAGAGGUGUGUGGAACUCCGAGUGUAGAGGUGAAAUUCGUAGAUAUUCGGAAGAACACCAGUGGCGAAGGCGACACACUGGCCCGAUACUGACGCUGAGGCGCGAAAGCGUGGGGAGCAAACAGG
RNAcentral lists this ribosomal RNA (253 nucleotides) under uncultured bacterium. RNAcentral's name for it is "partial 16S ribosomal RNA". It matches the Rfam family "Bacterial small subunit ribosomal RNA", at positions 524 to 776 of the family's 1533-position model. The record is from RNAcentral.